GCCGGAUUCGGGAAGUUUCACCGUACUUGUAAUACGGGGGUUGCGGGUUCGAGUCCCGCUGCCGGCC
RNAcentral lists this transfer RNA (67 nucleotides) under Curtobacterium sp. MCBA15_004. RNAcentral describes it as "tRNA-Ser". It matches the Rfam family "tRNA". From Rfam's summary of the family: Transfer RNA (tRNA) molecules are approximately 80 nucleotides in length. Lineage: Bacteria; Bacillati; Actinomycetota; Actinomycetes; Micrococcales; Microbacteriaceae. The record is from RNAcentral.